UCCCACUUAUUUGCUUUUCCUUUCACUUGUAUAGUAUUUCUUCUCUUCUGCAAUUCAAGUUUGUUGAAAAUAUGUAUAGAAAUUACGCGACAUGUCAUUCAUUAUGUAAUCACAUGUUUCAUAAUGAAUAAAGCUAAAACAAAGGAGCAAGUUUAGCAACAGAAGUUUCCAUUUCAUGGAAUUUAACUUUUCUGAUGCAGAGAAAAUACUUGUUUGUUCUACUGAGAUUGUGCAGUAAUCUUACUCUUUUCGUUUUCUUUCUUCCAGCCACAGUAUCUGAAAAGGAUAUUCUGCAGCCACUGACAGUGCCAAAAGAUGAUAAACUACUUGGUGGUCUUCUUCCUACUGGAUUUGAUGAAACAUCUUGUUUGAGUAGGUAUGAAUCACACUUAUAUAGCAAACCUCUGCAGCAUAAGCCUUCCUCUUAUCUUAUCUCGGGGUUAAGAAGAUACGAAGCUCUUCACAAGCAAUGCGGACCUUACACAGAAUUAUACAACAAAACAGUAGACCUUAUAAAGUCCGGUGAAUACAGCAGUGGUUCUUCAGUUUGUAAUUACGUUGUUUGGAUAUCGUAUAGUGGUUUAGGGAACAGAAUACUAACCUUAACUUCUGCUUUCCUUUAUGCUCUACUCACAAAUAGAGUCCUUCUGGUUGACCCCAGAGCUAAUUUGCAUAACCUGUUUUGUGAACCUUUUCCUGAAGUUUCUUGGUUGCUUCCUCCAGAUUUUCCUAUUAUUGAUCAGUUUAGUAGCUUUAAUCAGAAAUCUCCACAUUCCUAUGGUUAUAUGGUGAGAAAUAAUGUCACAGGCAAGUCAAGAAUACCUUCAUUCCUCUACCUUCAUUUAUCUCAUGACUUUGAUGUGCAAGAUAAA
Molecule: long non-coding RNA, 872 nt
Filed under: Solanum tuberosum (potato)
Lineage: Eukaryota; Viridiplantae; Streptophyta; Magnoliopsida; Solanales; Solanaceae
Description: long non-coding RNA (STUB_LNC004159)
Source: RNAcentral